AUGGCUUUUGAUUAUAAUUUAAGUCUGGCCUGCUCACUGACUUGUUUUGAAGAGCCGCGGUAUUUUGACCGUGCAAAGGUAGCAUAAUCAUUAGUCUUUUAAUUGGAGGCUGGAAUGAAUGGUUUGACGAGGAGUUGGCUGUCUCUAUUUAAUAUUUAGAAUUUAACUUUUGAGUUAAAAGGCUCAAAUUUUUCUUUAGGACGAGAAGACCCUAUAGAGCUUUAUAUUUUAUUUUUAUAUAGUCUCCUGUUAGUUUUUCUAUAUUUAAUAUAUGAUAUUUUGUUGGGGUGACAUGAAGAAUAACUAAACUCUUCAUUAUUAAAUCAUUGAUUUAUGUUGUUUUGAUCCAUAAUUUAUGAUCAUAAGAUUAAGUUACCUUAGGGAUAACAGCGUAAUUGUUUUGGAGAGCUCAAAUCGAUAAAGCAGAUUGCGACCUCGAUGUUGGAUUAAGAAAAAUGCUGGGUGCAGUAGCUUAGUAAUAGGCUGU
This 487-nucleotide ribosomal RNA is filed under the name Batrachotetrix sp. Its description in RNAcentral is "partial 16S ribosomal RNA". It matches the Rfam family "Bacterial large subunit ribosomal RNA", at positions 1828 to 2580 of the family's 2925-position model. Lineage: Eukaryota; Metazoa; Arthropoda; Insecta; Orthoptera; Pamphagidae. The record is from RNAcentral.